Molecule: ribosomal RNA, 34 nt
Filed under: Sarcoptes scabiei
Lineage: Eukaryota; Metazoa; Arthropoda; Arachnida; Sarcoptiformes; Sarcoptidae
Description: partial 5.8S ribosomal RNA
Source: RNAcentral
AGUAUCCGAUGGCUUCGUUUGUCUGAGCGUCGUU